CAGCCGCCGCGGGAAAACGUAGGUGGCAAGCGUUGUCCGGAAUUAUUGGGCGUAAAGGGCUCGCAGGCGGUUUCUUAAGUCUGAUGUGAAAGCCCCCGGCUCAACCGGGGAGGGUCAUUGGAAACUGGGAAACUUGAGUGCAGAAGAGGAGAGUGGAAUUCCACGUGUAGCGGUGAAAUGCGUAGAGAUGUGGAGGAACACCAGUGGCGAAGGCGACUCUCUGGUCUGUAACUGACGCUGAGGAGCGAAAGCGUGGGGAGCGAACAGGAUUAGAGACCCCCGUAGUCCCUGUCUCUUAUAC
RNAcentral lists this ribosomal RNA (301 nucleotides) under uncultured bacterium. RNAcentral describes it as "partial 16S ribosomal RNA". It matches the Rfam family "Bacterial small subunit ribosomal RNA", at positions 509 to 807 of the family's 1533-position model. The record is from RNAcentral.